RNAcentral lists this ribosomal RNA (466 nucleotides) under uncultured bacterium. RNAcentral's name for it is "bacterial SSU rRNA". It matches the Rfam family "Bacterial small subunit ribosomal RNA", at positions 331 to 793 of the family's 1533-position model. The record is from RNAcentral.
CCAGACUCCUACGGGAGGCAGCAGUGAGGAAUAUUGGUCAAUGGGAGAGAUCCUGAACCAGCCAAGCCGCGUGAGGGGAGACGGCCCUAUGGGUUGUAAACCUCUUUUGUCGGAGAACAAAACCCGGGACGUGUCCCGGACUGCGUGUAUCCGAAGAAAAAGCAUCGGCUAACUCCGUGCCAGCAGCCGCGGUAAUACGUAGGGGGCAAGCGUUAUCCGGAUUUACUGGGUGUAAAGGGAGCGUAGACGGCAAUACAAGUCGGAAGUGAAAUACCCGGGCUUAACCUGGGAACUGCUUUGGAAACUGUAUGGCUGGAGUGCUGGAGAGGUAAGCGGAAUUCCUAGUGUAGCGGUGAAAUGCGUAGAUAUUAGGAGGAACACCAGUGGCGAAGGCGGCUUACUGGACAGUAACUGACGUUGAGGCUCGAAAGCGUGGGGAGCAAACAGGAUUAGAUACCCGCGUAAG